GCGCGCACCAGUGAUCCCAGUGUCCGGGAGGCUGAGUCUGGAGGAUCGGUGGUGCUCUGGAUCUCUGAGCUGCAGCGGACUGUGCUGAUCGGGUGUCCGCACUAAGUUCGGUAUCGAUAUGGUUCUUCUGGGGGAUCCCGGGACCACCAGGUCGUCUGAGGAGGGGUGCACCGGCCCAGGUCGGAGACGGAGCAGGUCAAAGCCCCCGUACCGCUCAGUGGUGGGAUCACACCUGAGAAUAGACGCUGCAGCUCAGCCUGAGUAACACAGCGAGACCCAGUCUCUUUAUAUUGAUGGAGAC
This is a long non-coding RNA of Hippoglossus stenolepis (Pacific halibut), 301 nucleotides long. RefSeq lists it as uncharacterized. NCBI's taxonomy places the organism in Eukaryota, Metazoa, Chordata, Actinopteri, Pleuronectiformes, Pleuronectidae. The record is from RefSeq and is a predicted model, not a curated record. The transcript is spliced from 3 exons.